ACAGUAAUAGGCCGCACUGCGUUCAUAAGCUACUGGAAUUUACCAUUCCAGGAAAUCAGCCCCAGGGCCUGUCUCCUAGGAUUUAAUAAGUCAUUUAUUAUAGAAUAAACAUAUGAGGCUUUUCAAAUGGAAUAAGGAAACCGGGAGGUGAGCAAAACCCUGAACUUGUCCUCUGACUGUGGCUCGGAACCAGUAGGAGAAGCCUGGGAUUUGCCACUUACUUCGAGAACUGCUCCAUGAAGCGGUCCCGGUGGCCUUGCAGGGUGUCAGCUGGGAGACCUGGAAGAUAUUGGAAUAGAGUGAGAGGGAAGAGGACCACAGGAGGACCAGUGCAAGCCAUUCUGGGCACAGUGGGCUGGAAGUUGUGUCCCUGACCAAGCUGCGGGAUGGAAGGGAUCCAGAGAGCCUGCCUGAGAGGUUGGCUGUGCGAAGGCAAAGAUUGCAGACAACACUCAGGAUCUCAGUCCGGUGCUCGUUCGGCCCUGCCACUGCACGAUGCUGGACGAGUGGCAGCAUCUAAGCGCCAGCCUCCGCCCCUACAGAGCGGGCUCUCUGAGGUCCUUUCCGCUCCCAGAUUAUGUCACUCUGUGUACUUCAACUACAGAUCACAGCUCAGCGAUCCUUUUAUUUCUCGCUUGGUUCCUUAAAUUUACAUUUUAGUAAUUUUUGGGUAGGUGAUGUUUGGUAUAAAUAGGGAGCACACGCAAAAUGUAUGAGAAUUCAGAAUGCCAAGUAUAUACGGUGGAUGACGAUGGUACUGUACCUCCGUGAUCUCUCUCCCAAGAACCCUUAGCCCCAGUCGUGAGAAAAACAGCGGACAGACUCAAAUUGAGGAACAUUCUACAAGUGUCUGACCGAUUCUCCCCUAAACUGCCAAGGUCAUAAGUCUGAGACACUGUCACGGCCAAGAAGGAGCCUAGGGAGACACAAAGACUAAAUGUAAUGUGGCGUCCUGGAUGGCACAUUAGGUCAACACUGGGGAAAUCUGAAAAAAAUCUGGACUUCAGUUGA
Leopardus geoffroyi (Geoffroy's cat) is the source of this 1011-nucleotide long non-coding RNA. RefSeq lists it as uncharacterized. NCBI's taxonomy places the organism in Eukaryota, Metazoa, Chordata, Mammalia, Carnivora, Felidae. The transcript is spliced from 3 exons. The record is from RefSeq and is a predicted model, not a curated record.